CGGCAUCCCAGCCCCGCCCCGGAGGCGUUCCUAGACGGACGGUAGUACCGUGGGGCGGCUGAUAACGCUUUAGCGAGCCGCGAAGAUAGGAGGCGGGGAAGAAGGGGGACGUGUACCUCUCCCUCAUUCACGGUACAUUUACCUGAACUCAUCACCUUCCCACCCCCAUCCCAUCGACUCUGUGCUGUAUCCUGAACCGGCUGACAGAACAAUGAUGUAGACUUGACUUGUUUUCGCCAACCUGGAAUGAAGCAAAGCUCUUGUGCACCCAAGAUCUGCUCUCUGUUGUAAAUCCUGUUCAGACCUGGUCUAAUUGGUUUGAAUAAAUAAAGAACCGGAAUCUUUCUCAUCCAAACUAGUUGCCAGCAUAUUUUUAAGGCCACCUCCCUUCAAAUUUAAAAGGAAGUGUUGAAUGUACUGUCACUAUAAAUUAAAAGCCCUGGAAAUUCACACGCAAGGAGGCAUUCUUUCUCCCAGGGGCACAAAAUUGUUUAAAAUUUGCAGAUAGGGUUAUUAAACACGAAGAUCCUUUUGCUAUUGGGUUU
This 545-nucleotide long non-coding RNA is filed under the name Homo sapiens (human). RNAcentral's name for it is "non-protein coding lnc-CCKAR-1:6". Lineage: Eukaryota; Metazoa; Chordata; Mammalia; Primates; Hominidae. The record is from RNAcentral.